RNAcentral lists this microRNA precursor (67 nucleotides) under Bombyx mori (domestic silkworm). RNAcentral describes it as "mir-2774 microRNA precursor family". It matches the Rfam family "mir-2774 microRNA precursor family". Lineage: Eukaryota; Metazoa; Arthropoda; Insecta; Lepidoptera; Bombycidae. The record is from Rfam by way of RNAcentral.
AUUAUAAUCGAAUCGUCGGUUUAUAGAGCAAUUGCAUCCGUUCAGUAGAAGAUCUUCCCUUUAUCUC